GUGGCCAUAGCUCAGUCGGUUAGAGCGCUAGUUUGUGGCACUAGAGGUCGUGGGUUCGAACCCCAUUGGCCACC
RNAcentral lists this transfer RNA (74 nucleotides) under Bacteroidota bacterium. RNAcentral's name for it is "Bacteroidetes bacterium (activated sludge metagenome) tRNA-His". It matches the Rfam family "tRNA". From Rfam's summary of the family: Transfer RNA (tRNA) molecules are approximately 80 nucleotides in length. Their secondary structure includes four short double-helical elements and three loops (D, anti-codon, and T loops). The record is from RNAcentral. Lineage: Bacteria; Pseudomonadati; Bacteroidota. RNAcentral also lists the same sequence under 1 other name.